Centrocercus urophasianus (Greater sage-grouse) is the source of this 575-nucleotide long non-coding RNA. RefSeq lists it as uncharacterized. The record is from RefSeq and is a predicted model, not a curated record. The transcript is spliced from 4 exons. NCBI's taxonomy places the organism in Eukaryota, Metazoa, Chordata, Aves, Galliformes, Phasianidae.
CUAACUGCUUUUUUGUGGCACUCGGGCAUUCACUAAGCUGCCCGCACUGCAUGUGUCACUGCCCACAGUUCCUUGGUGAGUGUGGAGAAGUCUUGUGUGGAGAAGUUUUGAAGGAGAGGUCAUCAGUUCUUGAAGAUGCAGUGUGAGCCUCAACAAAACAUUUUCUCUGCCAUCUUUUGCCUAGCCCUUUUUCAGCUUAACUUCCCGUGUCCUGAUGGAGGCUUUCGAAGCUUAGUGACAGAUUUAAUGGAAAGUCCAAUUUCAUAAUUCCAAGCCCUUGACUUCCUUGUAUGUUGGUCUGCCCCUCCUCACUGCUGUGGGAAAGGAUGACCUGCGUCAUGUCGUUAUGAAAGAAAACACAGAGAAUUAACUAGGCUUCAAAAUGAAAGUGAGGAAGAAGAGUCCUGGAAAGUAUUAAUUUGAACAGGAAUAAUUGUUGGAUGGGAACUCAUCAAUUUGAAGAGGUAUACGUGCAGAAAGAUUUGGAGCUUUCAUGAUUGAGGACUGCUAAAUAAAGUGGCCAUGAAAAAGACAAAUCCAGGCCUGGGAUGCAUCAGACAGAGGAAGUCCAAGAG